AUGGCCACGGCGCAUGCGAGUCGGCCCAACGGGCCAGUGCUCUCCACACCCAACUGCCGCUCCGCCUCACCCAGCCCCGGCAAGCUCGCCGGCGGCGACGCCACCCACUCGCCGGGCAAGUCCGUUAGCGGCUCAUCUCCGUCCUCCACCAGGAGCCGGCAGUCCUGCACGUGCUCCUCGACGAAGACGAACCACCCGGGCUCAUUUCGGUGCAGCAUCCACAAGGCGCGCAAGCAGGCGGCCCCAGCCGGCAGCAAGCCCGCCUCCCCGUCGUCCAUCCACGGUCUGGGAUCGAAACGAAUGAACAGCAGGCAGUGCGCCCGCAGGGCCCUCGCGCCGUCCCCCGCGGCACAGCACUCGCAACACCUGAGGCGCGCGGGAGGGUUAAUCCCCAGGACGAGUAGGCUCUCCGCCAUGUCCACGGCCAGCGAGCGUCCCAGCAACAAGCAGGACUUUAUCAGUUUGGUUGUGGAAGUUAGCGUAGUUUUUCUUGGUUGGUUGUGGAAGGCGAUAUUUUAUCAGAGGCGGGGGAACCUCGCCCGGGCAAAUUAG
This 552-nucleotide ribosomal RNA is filed under the name Triticum aestivum (bread wheat). RNAcentral describes it as "partial small subunit ribosomal RNA". Lineage: Eukaryota; Viridiplantae; Streptophyta; Magnoliopsida; Poales; Poaceae. The record is from RNAcentral.